This 421-nucleotide ribosomal RNA is filed under the name Fusobacteriota bacterium. RNAcentral's name for it is "Fusobacteria bacterium partial 16S ribosomal RNA". It matches the Rfam family "Bacterial small subunit ribosomal RNA", at positions 355 to 776 of the family's 1533-position model. The record is from RNAcentral. Lineage: Bacteria; Fusobacteriati; Fusobacteriota.
UGGGGAAUAUUGCACAAUGGACGGAAGUUUGAUGCAGCGACGCCGCGUGGAGGGUGUAGGCCUUCGGGUUGUGAACUCCUUUUUCUCGCGAAAAAGGCACAGUUUUGGCUGUGUUGAUGGUAGUGGGGGAAGAAGCGCCGGCUAACUACGUGCCAGCAGCCGCGGUAAUACGUAGGGCGCGAGCGUUGUCCGGAUUUAUUGGGCGUAAAGAGCUCGUAGGUGGUUCGUCGCGUCUGUCGUGAAAGCCAGCAGCUUAACUGUUGGUCUGCGGUGGGUACGGGCGGGCUUGAGUGUGGUAGGGGUGACUGGAAUUCCUGGUGUAGCGGUGGAAUGCGCAGAUAUCAGGAGGAACACCGAUGGCGAAGGCAGGUCACUGGGCCGUUACUGACACUGAGGAGCGAAAGCGUGGGGAGCGAACAGG